Molecule: long non-coding RNA, 1982 nt
Filed under: Mytilus galloprovincialis (Mediterranean mussel)
Lineage: Eukaryota; Metazoa; Mollusca; Bivalvia; Mytilida; Mytilidae
Source: RNAcentral
UUGCUUUUAUUGUGUAUGGUUUCAAACCUCCACUUAAAUAAAAGUUCUGGAAAAGUCUUAAAAUAUUUAACUAUUUCCAAUUCUAUUUAUCUUAGUAAACCCUUUUCACUAUUUUUUUACUUAGAAAUUGCUAUUAAUAGCAAAUAAAGACUAAGAAUUUUAACAAUUAGUCAGAACAGCCUUCUGUGAAUUGAUUUAAUGAAAAAGAAACCUGGGAAUCAAUAUUGUAACAAACCAAAUUCACAAUUCAAAUGUUUUCACUUCUUCUACUUUUAUCUCAAACUAAAUAUUUGUGCUGUAAAAUCCUAACUCUGUCAAAUUUGAGUGAUUUAAUCUGUUAUAUAAAGAAAUCUGUUAGCGCAUUAUAAAAUUUUAUCAAUUACUGUAAUAAUCUUUUCUAAUAACUAACUUAAAAAAAAAAGAAGGAAAAACAGAGUUUUUUUUAAAAUGAUAUCAAAUUUUAUCUAAAAAUUUAUCUUAAAGUAUUGGUUCAAAAUAAAAAAGGAAUAUUAGCUCUAUCCAAUACAUCACUAUGAAAUGUUUAUUUCAUUCAAUAGUUUCUCUUGUUGUCUUAUGCAUCAAAAUUUAAACAAAAAUCUACAUAAAAAUUCAUUUCAUUAAAACUAAAAGUAAAGUAGUAACUAUAAAUAAAACAUCCAGUUUUAGAUGAACUUUCUGUUUAUAUCAAAUAAGAAAAUAUUUAAGUCUCAAUUACUUUCUAUUAUUUUCAACACCAUAAUGUUUUAUUUCAGUAAUGAAAAACUUUAUUUUGCAAUUGAACAUGUACAAAGUCGAAAGACUAAAGAUAUCAAACUUUUUUAAGUUCUGGGGGACAUUUUAAAGCACUAAGUCAAAACAUUUAUCACAGCAUAUAAUUUUAUCAAAUGAAGAAAUUUAAUACUAUCCAUCAAAGCGUACAUAGGCCACACAUAACAUAUAGUGUUUGAAUGAAAAAAAUGUGUGGAAAACACAAAAAUGACCCAGUUUAUAAUUUUUUGUCAUGGGAAUUUCCCAAAGUGUGACCUAGAUGAGGAUGACCAAAGAUAGCAUAAGUUAUCCAUAUGUUUUCCUACAACUUCGAUGUUAGGCGGCAUAAAAUUGUAGCUAACUGUGCUCAGAAUUUGAAAUUCACAGAAAAACAUUUAACGAAAGAGAAGAAGAAACUGUUUCCUAGAUUGCAAUAAGAGAACUCAAUUUUCCAGAUUUUUUUGUUAGAUAUGAACUAAAAUAUAAGAAUAUUAAAAGGAGUCAGAAUCUUACAUUUUGUUUUACAAUUAUACUUCAUUCAAAAACACUUCCUGAAGGCCUGCAUAACAAUUUCCCAGGUUAACAUGUUCUAAAAAUAACACCAGAUAACAUCCCCUUGUUCAUUAUUAACAAGAGUGCACACGCUGAAAUGUCUCGCCUUCUAUACUAAUCAUUGAUAUUAUGUUGAUAGUCCUAAGUAAAAAGCUAAGCUUUAUAACAACUGUACCAUAAACUUAACAUUAACCAAGAUAACUAAACAAAGACCAAUGAACCUUGAAAAUGAGGUCAAGGUCAGAUGAACCAUGCCAGGCAGACAUGUACAGCUAACAAUGCUUCUAUACAACAUAUAUAGUUGACCUAUUACUUAUAGUUUAAGGGAGCUACCAUUUGAUUUUUAUGGGGGGGCUAGGAUGAAAAAUUUUGUCCUGCAUUUUUUUUUAGCUGUAAUCUCUGUCCUGCCUUUUUAUUUUUCACUCUGUUCGGUCCUGCAUUUUUUUUUUUAGUUUAUCCUGACUUUUUUUUUACCUAAAUUGUCGUCCUGACUUUUUUUUUUUGCAAGUGUCUCAUCCUGCCUUUUUUUUUACUCAAAACUCCUGUCCUGCCUAUUUUUUUCAAAUUUCAUCCUAGCCCCCCCAUAAAAAUCAAAUGGUAGCUCCCUAAGAAAAAUAGACCAAAACACAAAAACUUAACACUGUGCAAUGAACCGUGAAAAUGAGGUCACGGUCAAAUAAAAC